This 630-nucleotide ribosomal RNA is filed under the name Burkholderia sp. IBb339. Its description in RNAcentral is "bacterial SSU rRNA". It matches the Rfam family "Bacterial small subunit ribosomal RNA", at positions 382 to 1004 of the family's 1533-position model. The record is from RNAcentral. Lineage: Bacteria; Pseudomonadati; Pseudomonadota; Betaproteobacteria; Burkholderiales; Burkholderiaceae.
CCUGAUCCAGCAAUGCCGCGUGUGUGAAGAAGGCCUUCGGGUUGUAAAGCACUUUUGUCCGGAAAGAAAACGUCUUGGUUAAUACCCGAGGCGGAUGACGGUACCGGAAGAAUAAGCACCGGCUAACUACGUGCCAGCAGCCGCGGUAAUACGUAGGGUGCGAGCGUUAAUCGGAAUUACUGGGCGUAAAGCGUGCGCAGGCGGUCUGUUAAGACCGAUGUGAAAUCCCCGGGCUUAACCUGGGAACUGCAUUGGUGACUGGCAGGCUUUGAGUGUGGCAGAGGGGGGUAGAAUUCCACGUGUAGCAGUGAAAUGCGUAGAGAUGUGGAGGAAUACCGAUGGCGAAGGCAGCCUCCUGGGCCAACACUGACGCUCAUGCACGAAAGCGUGGGGAGCAAACAGGAUUAGAUACCCUGGUAGUCCACGCCCUAAACGAUGUCAACUAGUUGUUGGGGAUUCAUUUCCUUAGUAACGUAGCUAACGCGUGAAGUUGACCGCCUGGGGAGUACGGUCGCAAGAUUAAAACUCAAAGGAAUUGACGGGGACCCGCACAAGCGGUGGAUGAUGUGGAUUAAUUCGAUGCAACGCGAAAAACCUUACCUACCCUUGACAUGGUCGGAAGUCUGCUGA